AUGAACGCUGGCGGCAGGCCUAAAACAUGCAAGUCGAACGCUGUAGCAAUACAGAGUGGCGCACGGGUGAGUAACAUGUGGGAAUAUGCCUAUUGGUACGGAACAACGUUUGGAAACGAACGCUAAUACCGUAUGGUCCCUUCGGGGUAAAGAUUUAUCGCCAAUAGAUUAGCCCGCACUAGAUUAGCUAGUUGGUGAGGUAAGAGCUCACCAAGGCGACGAUCUAUAGCUGGUCUGAGAGGACGAUCAGCCACACUGGGACUGAGACACGGCCCAGACUCCUACGGGAGGCAGCAGUUAGGAAUAUUGGACAAUGGGCGCAAGCCUGAUCCAGCCAUGCCGCGUGAGUGAUGAAGGCCUUCGGGUUGUAAAACUCUUUAGCCGAUGAAUAUAAUGACUGUAGUCGGAAAAUAAGCCCCGGCUAACUUCGU
Molecule: ribosomal RNA, 431 nt
Filed under: uncultured bacterium
Lineage: Bacteria
Description: bacterial SSU rRNA
Rfam family: Bacterial small subunit ribosomal RNA
Source: RNAcentral